GUACGGGGGGCAAGCGUUGUCCGGAAUUAUUGGGCGUAAAGCGCGCGCAGGCGGUCUCUUAAGUCUGAUGUGAAAGCCCACGGGCUCAACCGUGGAGGGUCAUUGGAAACUGGGAGACUUGAGUGUAGGAGAGGAAAGUGGAAUUCCACGUGUAGCGGUGAAAUGCGUAGAUAUGUGGAGGAACACCAGUGGCGAAGGCGACUUUCUGGCCUACAACUGACGCUGAGGCGCGAAAGCGUGGGGAGCAAACAGGAUUAGAUACCCUGGUAGUCCACGCUGUAAACGAUGAGUGCUAGGUGUUACGGGGUUUCGAUGCCCUUAGUGCCGAAGUUAACACAUUAAGCACUCCGCCUGGGGAGUACGGCCGCAAGGCUG
RNAcentral lists this ribosomal RNA (375 nucleotides) under uncultured organism. RNAcentral describes it as "partial 16S ribosomal RNA". It matches the Rfam family "Bacterial small subunit ribosomal RNA", at positions 525 to 896 of the family's 1533-position model. The record is from RNAcentral.